Molecule: long non-coding RNA, 3045 nt
Filed under: Coffea arabica (coffee)
Lineage: Eukaryota; Viridiplantae; Streptophyta; Magnoliopsida; Gentianales; Rubiaceae
Description: long non-coding RNA (CARA_LNC003291)
Source: RNAcentral
UACAUUCGAAAUGCCAAAAUAUCAUACUUAAGUUCAACAUCCUGCUACAGCUUUACAAAAAUAAAUCUAAGUCCUAAACUUAGCUAGCAGCUACUGCCGAAACACUUCAAGAGCAAAACACAACUUUGUCUUCAUUGUUCUUCAAUCAAUUAGUAGCUGUGGAUUAGAGGCCAAAAGAGUUUGAACAAGCAAUACAAGUCUGCAUAAAGUAGUAUAAUAAUUAGUAGGUAACAAGUAGCUUGAGCAAAACAAUAAACUAUCUUAUAUUUACCUACAACAAAACUCAAUCACGAUUAGAAUCUUAAUCAAGACAAGAACAAAUAAGGCAGAAAAUUAACAUAAGGACAAUAUCCCAAAUUAGCUUAGAAGUUAGCUAGUUAAGUAUUAGUGAGGUCAAUACCUUUUUAACAAACUACUCAAGGCCAAACAAAAAUAUUACUAGCUUUUCACGGAGUGGCUUAACAUGUCUUCCUAACAAAGUAAUGGAGCCAAAAGCUAACAAAGAAUUUUUUGACUGAAUAUUAUCUCUAACUCGAAUAGUAAAUUAUCGGAUAUCAUUUUACACACACUCAAAACAGUAAUAGAAAACCAACUACAAGCAGAGAUAUGCAAGAAAUCAUAGCUAGCAAAUGGUUGUACAUACUUUUCAUGACAGGAUAGAGAAAACAUGCUGUUGAAGGAACAAGGCCUUCCUAGGACUUUACAAACAAGACAAUCAAUAAAUACAAUCAAAUCAGAAAGUGUCCUCAAACACCUCUAUUCCUGAUAAAUUUCUACAUACCUGAGUUCUAUACAUAAAAGUUAGUCAAGGAAAGGGUACCCAGCUGGACUUGUGAAGGUUUAGGAAACUUGAUCUUAUACAAUAUAAAGAUUCUGUGGAUAUACUAAGAUCCCAACUUACUCCCUGCUCACGAUAAAUUGAUGUCUAACUUUGCAAUUAAUGCCAUGCAAUAAGAAAAAGAGUGGUAACGAUUUUCUCAAUUUUACCAUUGACUACUUGUUACCCAACCUUCUCCAUUUAUUAAAUUCAAUUCAUAAUGCAAUCCAUGUGUUUCCCACUUCUUAUUUAAGUUUCAAACAUUAUUGUUAUCUAAGUUCAUUUUAAGGUAGAGCCGACUCUAGCUAGGACAUCCAUUUGGAACAAAGGAGUGGAACACAAGUUAUCAGCUUUAAAGCUAUCUCACAUUUUUUAGAAUUUAUUUAUUAUAUGUUUCACAUUGUUAAAAUCUAUGAGUUAAUUAAAUAUAACAACUUGUAAAAGUUGCAUCUUACAAGACAAAAAAUUUUUAGUUCAUCAACUUGUAGCCAAGAAAUUUGUCCUCUUAUCAUGCCAACCAGAUCUAAAUGUGACUUUUUGAGAGACUAUGCUAGUAGGAAAGCACUUGCAUGUGAAAUAAACAUAUUAACCAUAAAAUCGUGCUUAAAAUCUUUGGAAAAAUGGUUUGGGGUUGAUGCAUGCACAAAUACUGGUUGUAUAUAGUUCCACACAAAAGCAAAAGCAUUGUUAAUUAUCGACCUAAAUAUGCAUCCAGUAACAUAAGUAUUGUUAAUAUUCACGUAAAAAAUGAUCAACUUGACCACUAGCCUAUCUAGAAAGAAGGCAGAGCAAGAGUACCUCAAUCCACUUUACAACAGGUUUUCUAGCAUGACCUUUAGAAUGGUAGCAAUUUUAGCAUGUCAAAGGAAGGAGUAAUCAUCCAAUAAGAAAUUCAUCAAAUUGAUCUUCUCCAACAAUUAAAAGGCACAAAAAGUUCCUAGCUUGCUUGAAAAGCCAUGCCAGCUUCUUACAAAAAUCCUGGUCAAAAGAUCAUUCCGUUGCAUCUUUAAGGAAAUGCUCUAUUCUAUCAGUCUCAAUACGUCAUUUAACAUUACAAAAAAAACACAUAAGACAACUUUUCCUAGAAUAUCAUAAGGAAAUGAAACUUAAAAGUGAUAAUUAACAAUGAUAAUGCCAAGUCUUUCACACCACCAAAAAAAGGGAAUAAUAGUGAUGUUGGAUAGCAAACUUUUUGAUACAAUUAAAGUCCACACUCGCUCAUUUUCUCAAGUACUCUAGAAACCUGAGAGAUUACAAUAGGCUAAUAAAGUCAUUAGAACCAGACAAAUCCCCUAAUCUAAAGCAACCGAAUUAGCAUGUUUCCUGAUUAUCUGGCAAUUUUACAUGUUUAUGACAGCAAGGUAGCAAACUUGGCAAGUAUCGCAUUAGAAUCAUGCUGCAGAAUCUUAUUCACAACAGAAUCUCUAGGGAUGCUACUAACCAAAGUGGCAUUCGUAUCUCAAUCUGAUUGACUAGGGACAAAUCUGUUAUAAUCUAACAGUACAUGACUAAUUUCAUGCUGAGAAUGAAAUUAAAAACACAAGGCGAAUACAAAUAGUCUUUAUUGUAUUCAUCUAUAAAGAAAGGGAUACACAAAGACUACCUAUUCAUUCUUGUAAAUUGAUACUCAAAUAAAUCAAAACAAACAACAAAAUUAAAUAGCCACCUUAGUUUCAUAAGGAAAAUUUUCAUGAUUUUUUUAUCCUUCCUUUUCAAUGAAUCAUUUAUUGGCAUAAACAGCCUUAGAUUAAUGAGGCAGUAAAAAGUUUUAAUUGACAUCCAACUCCAUCUAAAUAUUUGGGAUCUAGGUAGUUUUUAAUCAUCCAACUCGUAGCCAUGUUUUCUGUCUUGUAUCCUAAGAUAAAGAUAUAUGCAUCCAAGAUUAUUUUAAUGAAGGCACAAUAACUAAAUUGGGGAAACUAAUCAUCGCAAACAGCAACAAAGAAACUCCAAAGUAAUGAAACACAAAUUUUAUCAUUCAAAUUGAUCACAAUCAGGUGCAUGUGCUAAAAGUAAAACAAAUAUGAACAUGAUGUACUAUUAAAUCAGCGUUAUCAUCAGAUGACAACUCAAUGCUUAUAAUUUAAAUAAACAUUAGUACUGGUGAACAGCAGUACAUUUUUGUAGGUCAUUCGCAAAGCAAAAAUUCUAGUAAAGUGUACUCAUGAUUACUAAACAAAAGAAAAAGGACUGAGGGAGAGUGCCUGUAAAGUACCUCAAAGUGAAAA